Molecule: ribosomal RNA, 497 nt
Filed under: uncultured bacterium
Lineage: Bacteria
Description: partial 16S ribosomal RNA
Rfam family: Bacterial small subunit ribosomal RNA
Source: RNAcentral
GACGAACGCUGGCGGCGUGCUUAACACAUGCAAGUCGAACGGUGAAGCGCCUUCCUUUUUGGUGGGUGUGGAUGAGUGGCGAACGGGUGAGUAACACGUUAGCAACCUGCCCCCUUCUGCUGGAUAACCGCAUGAAAGUGUUGCUAAUACGGGAUAUUCUGAACCUGUCGCAUGAUGGGUCUGGGACAGAUAUUGUUUCGGUGGGGGAUGGGCUCGCGGCGUAUCAGCUUGUUGGUAGGGUGAUGGCCUACCAAGGCGGCGACGCGUAGCCGGCCUGAGAGGGUGGUGGGCGGCCCUGGAGGGGAGGCGACGCGCAGAAGCCUACGACGGGCAGCAGUAGGGGAGAUUACGGAACGGGGGGAGGACGGCUGAUGCAGCGCCGCGGGGUGGAGGAUGGUGGUCUGAGGGUUGUGCUCUGCUUUCGGGAGAGAACAAGGGCUGACUCGACUGUGGGUGGGUUGACGGUAGCUGGACAAAAAGCGCCGGCUAACUACGUG